Molecule: long non-coding RNA, 2678 nt
Organism: Corapipo altera (White-ruffed manakin)
Lineage: Eukaryota; Metazoa; Chordata; Aves; Passeriformes; Pipridae
Exons: 2
Source: RefSeq, a predicted model, not a curated record
UGGGGGUCUGAGGAGGAACCGUGGGGGUCUGGAGCCUCCCGUGUCCAUAGGGGUGUGACAGGGACCGUGGGGAUCUGGAGCCUCCCGUGUCCAUAGGGGGGUGUGACAGGGACUGUGGGGGUCUGGAGCCCUCUUGUCAGUUGGGUCUGACAAGGAUCCCGAGGGUCGAGAGAACUCCCUGUCCAUGGGGUCUGAUGGAAACAUGGGGUUCAACCAGGACCAUGAGGGUCUGGAGCUCUCCUGUCCAUUAGGUCUGCCAGGGACCACCGGAGUCUGGACCUUUCUUGAUGAUAGGGGUCUGAUGGGGACUAUGGGGGUCUGCAGCCUUCCCUGUUCAUGGGGUCUGAUGGGGACCUUGGGGAUCUCGAGCCCUGCGCCCUCUUGUCUGUGGGGGACUGACAGGGACAUUGGGGGGCUGCAGUGCUCUUGUUUGUGGGGGCUGAUAGGGAUCGUGGAGAUCUGGAGCCCUCCUGUCCAUGGGGACUACAGGGGUCUGCAACCUUCCCUGUUCUGGGGGUGUGACCAGGAGCAUGGGGUUCUGAAGGCAUCCUGUAUCCUGGGGGGUGUGACCAGGAACAUGGGGGUCUGCAGGCCUCCUGUCCAGGGUGUUUAACAGGGAUCUUGAGGAUCUGGAGCUUUUCUGACAUUGGGGUCUGACAUGGAACACGGGGGUCUGGAGCCCUCCUGCUCAGGGGAGUCUCAUGGGGACCAUUGAGGUUUGGAACCUUCCUGUCUAUGGGAUCUGACCAGGACUGUGGGGUUCUGGAGUCCUCUUGUCCACAGGGGUCUGACAGGGACCAUGGGGAUCUGGAGCCCUCCCUGUUUGUGGGGUCUGACAGGAACCGUGGGGGUCUGGAACUCUCUCUGUCCACAGGAGUCUGAUGGGGGGAACAUGGGGGUCUGGAGCCCUCCUGUCCAGGGUAUUUGACAGGGAUACUGAGACUCUGGAGCCCUCCCUGUCCAUGGGGUCUGACAGGGGACAGUGGGGCCUCUGGAACCCUCCCUGUCCAUAGGGUCUGACAGGGGACAGUGGGGGUCUGGAGCCCUCCUGCUCCAGGGGGUCUGACUGCACCUGGGUCUGGCUACCAGCCCAGGGGGCCUGAAGCACCCCUGCCCAGGGGAGGUGGCCAGGACCCUCUUGCCGUAGCCUUUCUCACCGUGAGCGUCCAUUCUGCCCCGGCCCCAUUAAACCUCCUGAAGGGCCUGUCCCUGGCUCUCGGCUCUGUCAUGGCCGAGCCGUGACAGCCUGUCCGUGGCUGGCUCUGGCCUCCGGAGAGGGAGGUGUUUCUCUCCCGAGAAGAGCUGUUUAUGCCCAGUGAUUUUUUUUUUUUUUUUGUUAUUUUUUUAUUUUUUUUUCACCUCCCUCCAUGGUCUCCUGCACAAGCCACAGCAGCAGCUCCAUGUCUGCCCAGCCUGGCAGUGCUCUGGCACGACUCUUUAUGUAGGUGAAGCAGGGAACGCUGUGAGGAUCGUGUUGAGCUAUCAGUCUCCUGAGCCUGGAGCUUUGAGCCUAUUUAUAGGUAGGUUGGGCAGUCUUCAGCAUGAAGGACUCGUGCCACGUCCGAAUCCGUGGCAAAACGGGGUGUUUUAAGUGGUGCUGUUUUGUUUUCCGUGGCUGUUCCUAGAAAAAAUUGGGUUUUACGGAACGCUCCGGGGGACUGGUUGUUAGUAGGUUACGUGGAGAAAGGCGAGUCAGUUUGGAGUCAAGGAACGUGAUGCCAUUUUAAUGCAACUUCUCGGGUGGCAGAGCAAACAGUAAGAGGAUACUUGGUUCUAGAUCAGCAGCUUUCAGCCUGCAGGCGGUGGGACAACUCACCCAGGGGUCUGUGGGAAGCCAUGGAGGAAAGGACAUCUGUCUUCUGUAGGCUUGCAUUCGUUAUACAGAUUUCUGCACUGCUAAAGAUUUUGUGGCCGACCAGCUGAAAAAAAAAAAUAUGGAAGUCGGCUUUUCUAGAUCACUAACAUGUUUUGGUUUAGAGUAAGUGGAGGAGGAGUGGAAAAAAACCUGUGUGUUUGGUUGUGUGUGUUUCUACUGUGCUGCUUCAAAAUUCAGAAAUUCAGUGUAUUUUUAAGAAUUACAUAACCACUAAUAACGUGGUGACUCUCAAGUAGCCCUCAAGAGUUAAAUAACAGCAGAUCAACGAGGCUGGGUCAAGAAGAGGAAGAGAGGGUUUUAUAACGAAUGGUGAGCACCGUGCACAGAUAUUUAAAAUUGCACUAGAAAGGAGCCUUUGGGUAGGAGGAGGAUUUUAAUGCCCUACAAAUAUGGAACAUGAGAAGGAGGAUGGAAAGAUGAGGUUUGCAGUUUUAUGCUGAUCUAGUCCAGUAAAUGGAUCGGGAACGGUUUGUGAUGCUUCACAUUCUUCAGCUUCUCUUCCAUCUUGACUUUAUCAAUGCAGUUUUUUGCAUCUGAAAUAGUGAGAAUGUCCAGAUGCUGAGUGCUGUGGGUGAGGAGGGAAUAGGGCAUUAAAAUAACCAGAAGUUAGUGAAAGGAGUGAGGGGCACUGUAGGGGUGGAAGGACCGGGGUGGUAACCGGCCGGCCGUGGCAUGUGCUGGGAGAGCUGGUGUUCCGUGUUGGUUACAGGAGUAAUUUGACACCGUGUUACCUACAGAAAUAUGUUUAUUCAGCCCGGGUGGUGCACUUGGUCUGUGCAGGCAUAUCCUGGUGUUUUUGGGG